GCCGGGCACAGUGGCUUAUGCCUGUAAUCCCAGCACUUUGGGAGGCCAAGGCAGGAGGAUUGCUGGAGCCCAGGAGUUCAGGACCAGCCUGGGCAACACAGUGAAAUCCAGUCUCUU
This 117-nucleotide non-coding RNA is filed under the name Pan paniscus (pygmy chimpanzee). Lineage: Eukaryota; Metazoa; Chordata; Mammalia; Primates; Hominidae. The record is from Rfam by way of RNAcentral. RNAcentral also lists the same sequence under 1 other name.